Puntigrus tetrazona (Sumatra barb) is the source of this 3133-nucleotide long non-coding RNA. RefSeq lists it as uncharacterized. The record is from RefSeq and is a predicted model, not a curated record. NCBI's taxonomy places the organism in Eukaryota, Metazoa, Chordata, Actinopteri, Cypriniformes, Cyprinidae. The transcript has 3 exons.
AAGAGACUCAUGCGGCAUUCUGUGUAUUUCCUGGGAAUCAAACCCAUGACCUUGGUGUUGCCAGCGUCAUGCUUAACUUGUGCGAACCAUUUCUUAAGCAUAGAAAAUUAGUCCUAGAAUUGCAAGAAUACUUAGCAAACGACUAGCUGAAAUCAGAUAAAAGUGAAAGAAAACAAUCACUUCCUCUUCACCCGUGACAGCUUAAGCCUGAGCAGCCUGUGAGGCGUUGUGUGCCUGAUGAAGUGUGAAUAAUAAUGGUUUUCCCUCCAGUGAAUACCACAUAUUUAAAAUUCACUUUUAGCCAACAAUAGUUGUUUAAGCAUGUCCAAAACUGCAGCUAGUUGCCCGUGCAUCAAGAAGACCCAGCUAAAUUUUACUGCUACUGUGGGAAGUCCAGUGUCUUAAUACAAACUAUUAGAGGAUGACAUUCAAUUCAACUUGCUUAACCAGGCCAGACUGGCCCCUUAUUACAAACGCCGUACAUUAAUUACAUUAUUUGCACUUAUUUCAAUAGGCUUUUACAUGAGCUUUGCUAACUGACAUCCCUUUUUGGCAUCUUCCUUUUUGCCAUCUUCUGCCUCUUUUCAUAUUUUACAUAUUGUUCGAACAGACAAUAAGUAAAUAACAGGAAACUCUGUAUAAUGCACUAAUGAGGGGGCAACAACACUGUAUGCAACAGAAACAAAAAUGCAGACACACUUCCGCAAUAGCACAGGAAGCUCCAACCAUGCAGACCAACAAAACGCGCGAGCUCUGCUCCUGUGGCGCCAAGUGUUGCCAGAUUUUGCUAAAACAAGCAACGCGUUCUGACUUACCUAACCAAAACAAGCAUGAAGCAGCAAUCCCAUGUCGCUUUCGUUUGCGUUGAACAGACAUUAAACAAAUGUAAAAUUAAUCCUGAUGCGAAACAAAGCGUGACGUCCUCCUCCACGAAUAAUUUAGAUGUUUUACGUGUUAAAACCGGCCAGCUAAAUAUCUCUCAUGCACGCACGUGAAAGUGGAUUCUGAGAAUAGCAGAAAGAGGGAAUGAAAGAGGAAUCGUGCAACUGCUUUUAAAAAUUACAUAAUAUACUGCGGUGCGCACAGCAGGUGGGAAAAUUUUACAUCUGCUAUUACGGUAGAUUAUAAUUAAUUGUGCUGUAAAUCCCAAGUUCUUACCAGUCAAGUAUGCGACUGUACUGACAUAACUGUUAUUAAUAAGCCCUCAAAAAUAUCCAGAAUUACAAGCGACUUUACGUAAACACAUAACGCACGACGUCGCGUAUAAUAAGCGGAUAUGGCAACACGGUCGCGCAGCGCGCUAUGUGGCACGCGUCUCGGUGGAAAUGAGAACUUGUUUACCUGUAAACAACCUAUAGUGACAAACAACUGAAGCAAGGUCUUCGUAAAAGCAAUUCAGCGAGCCAACAAUGGGCUACCAGUUACAAAAGGUGCAAAUUGAUUGUUGUCAGCGGGAUCUUUAGAGAAAACAACAAAGAAACUGUGCGACCAACGUGGAAACAAAACAAAGACUCGUGCUUUGUGACAAAACCAGGAAGCGCUGAGUGACACAGGGACUGAAUUUGAGACUUGAUAUCGGCAAACACCAACGUCCUCAUCAAGCUGCAGACACUGCCACCGGUUGUUAUGGACAGCAGGCUCUCACAGGAACCAAAUCAGGCUCAUGCUCGUUUAUUAUUACAUCAUUGCACUGCACCUUUUCUUAUUCACUCAAUCAAGAGUGCAAAGAGGAGCACUUCUGUUGCUGUGCCAACCAAGGCAACACAAUGGACUCGUCACGUCACGUCGAUCGCUGCCGCGCAUCCAGCCUGAACGCAACUCAGAUCCAGCUUACUUCACAGCUCAUCUUAAACAGACACCAGCGCUGAUAUCAAAGGAGAAGACCGAAAAUAUAAUACAAUUGGUUUUAUUCUGCAGUUUCUAGGUUACAUGACUUGGCAGAUGCAGAGAUCAAGAUGGGCAAUGAACAUCGGCCGUCUUUUUGAGCAUUAAAAACAAGCCUUCGAGACAUAAUGCCACCGUUUUCAAUAGAUUCAAAAGAUUUUAAUAUAAUUUUGAAAUAUUUGUAAUCACAAGUUUCCCCAGAGGGACCAAAACCUGGGGAUUUCCAAGCUCAAAAGUGAAAAUCACAACAAAAAUUCGCCAUUGCUAACAAAAAGGAGAUUAAUACACAAAGACAUUUUUUUUUUUUACAAGAUUAAUAAUAAUAAAUCACUAGACAUUCAUUUUUACAAUAAAAACAGUUCCGCACAAAACGUUCAAGAACUGAAGGCAAAAAGCAACAGGAUCAAACCAGGUAGGGCAAAAAGAAAAGGCGUAUUUAUUUUUCUUUACUUCCUCAAAUGAUUCACAAAAGCUGUGACAAAUAGGACUUAAAAGUACAUAAAGAUUUUUUUUUUUGGUUUUCACUUUUUUAAAUAUAUAUAUAAAUUUAUAUAUAUAUAUAAUUUCAAGAGUAUACCGCAAAAAAGUCACAACUGAUCCCCAACAAAAAGCUGCACAAUAAAUGUUGUUAUUCAUGACGCAUAAAGGCACACAGAAACAGACAGGCUGCACACUGAUUCGGCAGAAGCUAUCUUACAGAGUUUCACCAUUUUUUUUUUCCUUUUUUAUUUAUUCAUUUAUUAUUUAAGAGAAAUCGCCCAUUCUCUCCUUGAUCGACCAACAUCUGAUACCACCACUAGGUGGCGUCUUGCCAGAUGUGUGUAGAUGCAAAAAAAAAAAAAAAAAUGUAGGGUUAGUAAACCAGAGAGAAAGCCAGUGUGGGGAAAGAAACACUCGCUGAAGCCAUGCACAUAUGCGCAUACCGUUAUUAAUAACUUAAUGCCUUAGACGUCCAUUUUCUCAAACGUUCAAGUGCUGUAUAAUUUCACAAAAGUAUGCAUUAAUCGCGCGUACAGUUCCAGGCGGACUUUCGUUUCGCCCGGGCCUCGACGCACCACAUUAUUCAUUCACCAGCAGAUUGAAAUGGAUUAAUAAAAAGGUGCAUUUCCAUGGCUAGAGGCUCCUAAUUUCCACGUGGAGUUAAACCUGAUUGAGCUAGUUCAUCUAAAAAGCUAAUCUUGAUUAAUAAGAGUUUUUUUUUUUUUUUUUCCUCCGAACACUAAAAGGAACCUGGAUUUUUAAAUAAGUG